RNAcentral lists this long non-coding RNA (2153 nucleotides) under Pan troglodytes (chimpanzee). RNAcentral's name for it is "lincRNA". The record is from RNAcentral. Lineage: Eukaryota; Metazoa; Chordata; Mammalia; Primates; Hominidae.
GGCUCCUGUCCUUAUAUGUCUAGCCCUGGCCUGGAGCACUGGAGGAUGAGGUCCGCUGACUGCAGCGUCCAUCCGGGUCCUCCCCAGGCACUGUGGCCUCCCUCACAGCAUGGCUGCGUUGGGUACUCGGACUUCACGUGGAAGGCCAGGGCUCCGAGAGCAAAUGCCCCAGCAAGACAGAAGCUCAGCCGCCUUUGAUGACCUAGAAGCUAGGCAGCAUCCAUUGUACUGCCUUCUAUGGAUUGUGAAUGAGUCCCAAACCUGCCUUGACUCAAGGAAACGGAAUUAGACUCUACGUCUUGACUAGGUAGUGGCGAAGUUCUGGAAGCACAUGAGUAGGAGAUACUGUGACGUUUUCAUCUUUGGAAAAUACCAUCUAGCACACCUGAAUCUGCUUUCAGGGGGUGUAAGGGGAUUUCCAUGGCAAAAUUUGAAGCCACAUGUGGUCAGCGCUUUGUACUGUGGAAACAAAGUGCUCUGGGCAUCCAGAAAGGGGGUACGUUUUUUCUUACUGGGAUAAAUCUGGCUGCAUUUUAGCUAAUCCUGGAAAACUGAUCGACAAAAGCAAAGGACCAAGAAAGCUGCUUAUAUCAGUGUCUCCUCCACCCUCAGCCUCCAGUAGCAUCCCUACGUUUUUCAAUUUUAUUUAUGUCACUUUAAAUAAGGACAUUGAGAGGGAAAAGGCCUCAUCGACAUACCAACUACAGGCCAGGUGGACCUUCGGUGCACACACACCCCAGCGCCCACGGAGAUCCAGGCCUCCUGUGUAUGAAUGUGUGCCAUGAAUUUAGACCUAUUUCUCGCCUUCCGGGCUCUCUAUUCCUCAUCCUCCAUCCAAGUGGCCAUCUUGUGCAGGCCCUGAAAGCAGCAGAUCUCGCCUGCAUUGGAGGAUGAGACGCCACAUGAAGAAGAAAGAAGACGCCACAGACAGCAGCGCGGUACCACCUUCCAGAGAUGUGAGUGUGACCGUCUUUGACCUUCUAGCCCAACUGCUUUCCCUGAAUGCAAUGCAUGAGCAGGCCAGGCAAAACUAGAAAGGGAAGCUGCCCAGCUAACCCACAGAAUUAUGAGAGAUAAAAAAUCAUUGUCUUAAGCCACUAAGUCUGUUAUGCAGCAAUAUAUAGCAUUCAUUCAACUUUUGUCUCAUGAAUACUCUCAUCUCUUUUAUAAGUUCUUUUGUGGUUCAAGUUAGCUCAAAUCAGUUUCUGAUGCUUAUGACCAAAUGCCCCUAUGUGAUAGAUUUUGAGGGUUUAAGAAGCUUGCUCGGAUCACACAGCGGUAAGUAGCAGCACUUCAUCUUUAACCCACGUCUGGCCCACUCACUUUCCAUAGGUCCUUGCUGCCUCCCUCCCUAAUCCCUUCCAGUCUAGUUUCCUCACUCAUUUUAGCAUCUUGAAGAUGCCUGAUCUUUUGUAACAGGCACUUAGAAGAGGCAAUAAUCAAGCUGUGAGCUGGAAUACUGGGUGUCUCAUCCAAUAACCAGGUUGGCAGGUUGGUAACCAUACAAGGGACUUUUCAAACUGGAGAAUUAGUGUGCUGAGCACAAAGUGGUGAGUAUUUUGAGAGUUAUUGAAAUAUAAUUGACAUAACAAUAAAAAUACAAUAUUUAAGUGCAUUUAUUUCAAGUGUACGAUUUGACAAGUUUGGUUAUAUUAUAUACACCUACGAAACCAUCACCACAAUUAAGAUAAUGAGCAUAGCUAUCACACACAAAAGUUUCCUUGUGCCCCUUGGUAAUUCCUCCCUCUCUCCUGCCCACAUCUCUCCUUUUCCCAGGCAACUCCUGAUCUGAUUUCUGCCGCUAUCAAUUCGUUUGCAUUUCCUAGAAUUUUAAAUAACUGAAAACAUACAUUAAGAACUCUUUUUCUCUGGCCGAGUAUGGUGGCUCACGCCUGUAAUCCCAGCACUUUGGGUGGCCAAGGCGGGCAGAUCACCUGAGGUCAGGAGUUCGAGACCACCCUGGCCAACAUGGUGAAACCCCGUCUCUACUAAACAUACAAAAAUUAGCCAGGCAUGGUGGUGGGCAUCUGUAAUCCCAGCUACUCGCGAGGCUGAGGCAGGAGAAUCGCUUGAACCUGGGAGACAGAGGUUGCAGUGGGCUGAGAUCACGCCACUGCACUCCAGCCUGGACAACAGAGCGAGACUCCAUCCCC